UACAGAGGGGGCAAGCGUUGUUCGGAAUUACUGGGCGUAAAGGGCGCGUAGGCGGCCUUCUAAGUCGAACGUGAAAUCCCCGGGCUCAACCCGGGAACUGCGUCCGAUACUGGAAGGCUUGAAUCCGGGAGAGGGAUGCGGAAUUCCGAGGUGUAGCGGUGAAAUGCGUAGGAUAAUCUGGAGGAACACCGGUGGCGAAGGCGG
Molecule: ribosomal RNA, 204 nt
Filed under: uncultured bacterium
Lineage: Bacteria
Description: partial 16S ribosomal RNA
Rfam family: Bacterial small subunit ribosomal RNA
Source: RNAcentral